AGAGUUUGAUCCUGGCUCAGGAUGAACGCUAGCUACAGGCUUAACACAUGCAAGUCGAGGGGAAACGACAUCGAAAGCUUGCUUUUGAUGGGCGUCGACCGGCGCACGGGUGAGUAACGCGUAUCCAACCUGCCCACCACUUGGGGAUAACCUUGCGAAAGUAAGACUAAUACCCAAUGAUAUCUCUAGAAGACGUCUGAAAGAGAUUAAAGAUUUAUCGGUGAUGGAUGGGGAUGCGUCUGAUUAGCUUGUUGGCGGGGUAACGGCCCGACCAAGGCUACGAUCAGUAGGGGUUCUGAGGAGGAAGGUCCCCCACGACUUGGAACCUGAGACACGGUCCAAACUCCGUACGGGAGGCCA
This 360-nucleotide ribosomal RNA is filed under the name uncultured bacterium. RNAcentral describes it as "bacterial SSU rRNA". It matches the Rfam family "Bacterial small subunit ribosomal RNA", at positions 8 to 351 of the family's 1533-position model. The record is from RNAcentral.